RNAcentral lists this ribosomal RNA (253 nucleotides) under uncultured bacterium. RNAcentral describes it as "partial 16S ribosomal RNA". It matches the Rfam family "Bacterial small subunit ribosomal RNA", at positions 524 to 776 of the family's 1533-position model. The record is from RNAcentral.
UACAGAGGGGGCGAGCGUUGUUCGGAAUUACUGGGCGUAAAGGGCGCGUAGGCGGCCUGUUAAGUCGAACGUGAAAUCCCCGGGCUCAACCCGGGAACUGCGUCCGAUACUGGCAGGCUUGAAUCCGGGAGAGGGAUGCGGAAUUCCAGGUGUAGCGGUGAAAUGCGCAGAUAUCAGGAAGAACACCCGUGGCGAAGGCGGCUCUCUGGGACGGUACUGACGCUGAGACGCGAAAGCGUGGGGAGCGAACAGG